CACGGGGGGAGCAAGCAUUGCUCGGAAUCACUGGGCGUAAAGGGCGUGUAGGCGGCUAGGUAAGUGGGAUGUGAAAUGCCCCGGCUCACCCGGGGACCGGCAUCCCAAACUGCUUGGCUUGAGUAUGGGAGAGGAUGAGGGAAUUCCUGGUGUAGCGGUGAAAUGCGUAGAUAUCAGGAGGAACACCGGUGGCGAAGGCGCUCAUCUGGCCCAAUACUGACGCUGAUGCGCGAAAGCUAGGGGAGCAAACGGG
This 253-nucleotide ribosomal RNA is filed under the name uncultured bacterium. Its description in RNAcentral is "partial 16S ribosomal RNA". It matches the Rfam family "Bacterial small subunit ribosomal RNA", at positions 524 to 776 of the family's 1533-position model. The record is from RNAcentral.